This 368-nucleotide ribosomal RNA is filed under the name uncultured organism. RNAcentral describes it as "bacterial SSU rRNA". It matches the Rfam family "Bacterial small subunit ribosomal RNA", at positions 526 to 896 of the family's 1533-position model. The record is from RNAcentral.
CGGAGGGUGCAAGCGUUGUCCGGAUUUAUUGGGUUUAAAGGGUGCGUAGGCGGUCUUUUAAGUCAGUGGUGAAAUCCUGCAGCUCAACUGUAGAACAGCCAUUGAUACUGAAAGACUUGAGUACAGACGAGGUAGGCGGAAUUUAUGGUGUAGCGGUGAAAUGCAUAGAUACCAUAAAGAACCCCUAUUGCGAAGGCAGCUUACUAGGCUGUAACUGACGCUGAGGCACGAAAGCGUGGGGAUCAAACAGGAUUAGAUACCCUGGUAGUCCACGCCGUAAACGUUGAUUACUCGAUGUUCGCGAUAUACAGUGAGCGUCCAAGCGAAAGCGUUAAGUAAUCCACCUGGGAAGUACGAUCGCAAGAUUG